AUGCACGCUGGCGGCGUGCCUCAUCCCUGCCAGUCGCGCGAACAGACGAGGAGCUUGCUCCUCUGACGUUAGCGGCGGACGGGUGAGUAACACGUGGAUAACCUACCUAUAAGACUGGGAUAACUUCGGGAAACCGGAGCUAAUACCGGAUAAUAUAUUGAACCGCAUGGUUCAAUAGUGAAAGACGGUUUUGCUGUCACUUAUAGAUGGAUCCGCGCCGCAUAGCUAGUUGGUAAGGUAACGGCUUACCAAGGCAACGAUGCGUAGCCGACCUGAGAGGGUGAUCGGCCACACUGGAACUGAGACACGGUCCAGACUCCUACGGGAGGCAGCAGUAGGGAAUCUUCCGCAAUGGGCGAAAGCCUGACGGAGCAACGCCGCGUGAGUGAUGAAGGUCUUCGGAUCGUAAAACUCUGUUAUUAGGGAAGAACAAAUGUGUAAGUAACUAUGCACGUCUUGACGGUACCUAAUCAGAAAGCCACGGCUAACUACGUG
RNAcentral lists this ribosomal RNA (495 nucleotides) under uncultured bacterium. Its description in RNAcentral is "partial 16S ribosomal RNA". It matches the Rfam family "Bacterial small subunit ribosomal RNA", at positions 29 to 507 of the family's 1533-position model. The record is from RNAcentral.